GUGGGGAAUAUUGGGCAAUGGGCGCAAGCCUGACCCAGCAACGCCGCGUGAAGGAAGAAGGCUUUCGGGUUGUAAACUUCUUUGACAGGGGACGAAACAAAUGACGGUACCCUGAAAACAAGCCACGGCUAACUACGUGCCAGCAGUCGCGGUAAUACGUAGGUGGCAAGCGUUAUCCGGAUUUACUGGGUGUAAAGGGCGUGUAGGCGGGAUUACAAGUCAGAUGUGAAAACUAUGGGCUCAACCCAUAGCCUGCAUUUGAAACUGUAGUUCUUGAGUGAUGGAGAGGCAGACGGAAUUCCUCGUGUAGCGGUGAAAUGCGUAGAUAUGAGGAGGAACACCAGUGGCGAAGGCGGUCUGCUGGACAUUAACUGACGCUGAGGCGCGAAAGCGUGGGGAGCAAACAGGAUUAGAUACCCCAGUAGUCC
RNAcentral lists this ribosomal RNA (428 nucleotides) under uncultured bacterium. RNAcentral's name for it is "partial 16S ribosomal RNA". It matches the Rfam family "Bacterial small subunit ribosomal RNA", at positions 354 to 796 of the family's 1533-position model. The record is from RNAcentral.